This 468-nucleotide ribosomal RNA is filed under the name uncultured bacterium. RNAcentral describes it as "partial 16S ribosomal RNA". It matches the Rfam family "Bacterial small subunit ribosomal RNA", at positions 28 to 507 of the family's 1533-position model. The record is from RNAcentral.
GACGAACGCUGGCGGCGUGCUUAACACAUGCAAGUCGAACGGAAAGGCCCUGCUUUUGUGGGGUGCUCGAGUGGCGAACGGGUGAGUAACACGUGAGUAACCUGCCCUUUACUUUGGGAUAACUUCAGGAAACUGGGGCUAAUACCGGAUAGGAGCUCCUGCUGCAUGGUGGGGGUUGGAAAGUUUCGGAGGUUGGGGAUGGACUCGCGGCUUAUCAGCUUGUUGGUGGGGUAGUGGCUUACCAAGGCUUUGACGGGUAGCCGGCCUGAGAGGGUGACCGGCCACAUUGGGACUGAGAUACGGCCCAGACUCCUACGGGAGGCAGCAGUGGGGAACAUUGCACAAUGGGCGGAAGCCUGAUGCAGCAACGCCGCGUGCGGGAUGACGGCCUUCGGGUUGUAAACCGCUUUCGCCUGUGACGAAGCGUGAGUGACGGUAAUGGGUAAAGAAGCACCGGCUAACUACGUG